RNAcentral lists this ribosomal RNA (492 nucleotides) under uncultured bacterium. RNAcentral's name for it is "partial 16S ribosomal RNA". It matches the Rfam family "Bacterial small subunit ribosomal RNA", at positions 29 to 507 of the family's 1533-position model. The record is from RNAcentral.
AGUGAACGCUGGCGGUAGGCCUAACACAUACAAGUCGAACGGCAGCACAGUAAGAGCUUGCUCUUACGGGUGGCGAGUGGCGGACGGGUGAGGAAUACAUCGGAAUCUACUUUUUCGUGGGGGAUAACGUAGGGAAACUUACGCUAAUACCGCAUACGACCUACGGGUGAAAGCAGGGGAUCUUCGGACCUUGCGCGAUUGAAUGAGCCGAUGUCGGAUUAGUUAGUUGGCGGGGUAAAGGCCCACCAAGGCGACGAUCCGUAGCUGGUCUGAGAGGAUGAUCAGCCACACUGGAACUGAGACACGGUCCAGACUCCUACGGGAGGCAGCAGUGGGGAAUAUUGGACAAUGGGCGCAAGCCUGAUCCAGCCAUACCGCGUGGGUGAAGAAGGCCUUCGGGUUGUAAAGCCCUUUUGUUGGGAAAGAAAAGCAGCAGGUUAAUACCCCGCUGUUCUGACGGUACCCAAAGAAUAAGCACCGGCUAACUUCGUG